AUAACCGUUUAAGAGAGUUGUAAAGUAAAUUGUUUAGGUAGUUUAUAAGGUCUGAAAUAAUUUUUUAAACUACACAUUGCUAAGUCAUUUCCCAUCAUGGAUGCAUUGAGCUGUAAUUUAUACAACAUGGAACUUGUCGAACUUGUCGAAAACAUCGAAUCAAUGGAACUGAUGUCAUCGCAACAUGACGAAGAACUUUACGAGCUCUGUGAUAAAAUGGAACAAACACAAGUCGAAACAACUAUUCAGAAAGGAGAAGGCAGCAGGAAGAGAUCAGCGUCGACGUUACUGAGUGGAGAGGAAAUAAAGAGGAAGAAAAAGCUUCACCUUGUAGCCCCAUCGACAUUAUCAUCAUCAACAAA
This is a long non-coding RNA of Manduca sexta (tobacco hornworm), 362 nucleotides long. RefSeq lists it as uncharacterized. NCBI's taxonomy places the organism in Eukaryota, Metazoa, Arthropoda, Insecta, Lepidoptera, Sphingidae. The record is from RefSeq and is a predicted model, not a curated record. The transcript has 2 exons.